Molecule: ribosomal RNA, 491 nt
Filed under: uncultured bacterium
Lineage: Bacteria
Description: partial 16S ribosomal RNA
Rfam family: Bacterial small subunit ribosomal RNA
Source: RNAcentral
AGUGAACGCUGGCGGUAGGCCUAACACAUGCAAGUCGAACGGCAGCACAGUAAGAGCUUGCUCUUACGGGUGGCGAGUGGCGGACGGGUGAGGAAUACAUCGGAAUCUACUUUUUCGUGGGGGAUAACGUAGGGAAACUUACGCUAAUACCGCAUACGACCUACGGGUGAAAGCAGGGGAUCUUCGGACCUUGCGCGAUUGAAUGAGCCGAUGUCGGAUUAGCUAGUUGGCGGGGUAAAGGCCCACCAAGGCGACGAUCCUAGCUGGUCUGAGAGGAUGAUCAGCCACACUGGAACUGAGACACGGUCCAGACUCCUACGGGAGGCAGCAGUGGGGAAUAUUGGACAAUGGGCGCAAGCCUGAUCCAGCCAUACCGCGUGGGUGAAGAAGGCCUUCGGGUUGUAAAGCCCUUUUGUUGGGAAAGAAAAGCAGCAGGUUAAUACCCCGCUGUUCUGACGGUACCCAAAGAAUAAGCACCGGCUAACUUCGUG